This 164-nucleotide small nuclear RNA is filed under the name Corvus moneduloides (New Caledonian crow). RNAcentral's name for it is "U1 spliceosomal RNA (ENSCMUG00000020290.1)". It matches the Rfam family "U1 spliceosomal RNA". From Rfam's summary of the family: U1 is a small nuclear RNA (snRNA) component of the spliceosome (involved in pre-mRNA splicing). Its 5' end forms complementary base pairs with the 5' splice junction, thus defining the 5' donor site of an intron. There are significant differences in sequence and secondary structure between metazoan and yeast U1 snRNAs, the latter being much longer (568 nucleotides as compared to 164 nucleotides in human). Lineage: Eukaryota; Metazoa; Chordata; Aves; Passeriformes; Corvidae. The record is from Rfam by way of RNAcentral.
AUACUUACCUGGCAGGGGAGAUACCAUGAUCAGGCAGGUGGUUUUCCCAGGGCAAGGCUCAUCCCUUGCACUACAGGUGUGCUGACCCCUGCGAUUUCCCCAAAUGUGGGAAACUUGACUGCAUGAUUUGUGGUAGUGGGGGACUGCGUUCACACUCUCCCCUG